GACGAACGCUGGCGGCGUGCUUAACACAUGCAAGUCGAACGGAAAGGCCCUGCUUUUGUGGGGUGCUCGAGUGGCGAACGGGUGAGUAACACGUGAGUAACCUGCCCUUGACUUUGGGAUAACUUCAGGAAACUGGGGCUAACACCGGAUAGGAGCUCCUGCUGCAUGGUGGGGGUUGGAAAGUUUCGGCGGUAGGGGAUGGACUCGCGGCUUAUCAGCUUGUUGGUGGGGUAGUGGCUUACCAAGGCUUUGACGGGUAGCCGGCCUGAGAGGGUCACCGGCCACAAUGGGACUAAGAGACGGACCAGACUCCUACGUGAGACAGCAGGGGGGAAUAUGGCCCAGUGGGGGGACGCGUAGUGCAGCAACGCCGCGGUCGGGAUGUCGGCCUGCGGGUAGUAAACCGCUUUCGCCUGUGACGAAGCGUGAGUGACGGUAAUGGGUAAAGAAGCACCGGCUAACUACGUG
RNAcentral lists this ribosomal RNA (468 nucleotides) under uncultured bacterium. RNAcentral describes it as "partial 16S ribosomal RNA". It matches the Rfam family "Bacterial small subunit ribosomal RNA", at positions 28 to 507 of the family's 1533-position model. The record is from RNAcentral.